RNAcentral lists this long non-coding RNA (578 nucleotides) under Triticum aestivum (bread wheat). Its description in RNAcentral is "long non-coding RNA (TAES_LNC010587)". The record is from RNAcentral. Lineage: Eukaryota; Viridiplantae; Streptophyta; Magnoliopsida; Poales; Poaceae.
UGAAGCGGGCAACGGAAGAAAAUACAGAAGUCCACCGGUGUCAUCGGAGCGUGCUGCGGUUCUGUGCAUACAUAUGAGUACAUGCCAUUCUUUGUAUGUUAUGGUAGUUAUGGGAAUAAUUUGCCUCAGAAAUUCAGAAGUUUGUUUAUUUGUUGCAAGAGAGUAGAAGUGUAACAAACGUUGUAUUAGUGUUAUCUCUUGAACUGUCUGUUGUUUAAAACCUUGGAUCUUACCUAUAUAAACUGCAUGUUGUUUGAAGCCUAGCAUUUUUGUUUGCUAGUUUGUUUGCAUAUUUGAUUCGUCUGCUGGUAAGCUGCUUUCUUCUGCGAGGGCCAUGGUAGGUGGAACCUAAAGACAGCAAAACCAUAUGAGGUUCUCAUCUGUGCCUUGUGAAGUGAUGUCGAAGGAAUCUUCUAGCCUUCAUUGCAGAUUCCAAUUCUUAUAAAGAAAAACGCAAGACUUGACAUCCUUACAUUUUUUUUUGAACCAUGAUGUCCUUCUAGCCUUCGCUGAAUCCUACCAUGUACUAUGAAAUGAAACAUGAGAAUGUAUAACAGAAGUUUGGUUGCGCUUGCGCC